RNAcentral lists this ribosomal RNA (253 nucleotides) under uncultured bacterium. Its description in RNAcentral is "partial 16S ribosomal RNA". It matches the Rfam family "Bacterial small subunit ribosomal RNA", at positions 29 to 309 of the family's 1533-position model. The record is from RNAcentral.
AACGAACGCUGGCGGCAGGCCUAACACAUGCAAGUCGAACGCCGUAGCAAUACGGAGUGGCAGACGGGUGAGUAACACGUGGGAACGUACCCUUCGGUUCGGGAUAACUCAGGGAAACUUGAGCUAAUACCGGAUACGUCCGAGAGGAGAAAGAUUUAUUGCCGAGGGAUCGGCCCGCGUCUGAUUAGCUUGUUGGUGAGGUAACGGCUCACCAAGGCGACGAUCAGUAGCUGGUCNGAGAGGAUGAUCAGCC